CUCUCUCACUUCGUCUCCCUUCUCUCAACAUCCAAACCCUAGCCACCAUGAAACCCUCACCGUCUCCACCGCAAACCACCCACCGGAAAUCGCUUCACGGCGGUUCCGGUGGUCCAAUCGACCCCAAAUUUACACCCUAAAUUCCCCUUCACCUCCUCAUUCUUAAUAUCCAAUUAGCUUUCUUCGAAUCCCCGCUGAGCUCUUUGAAUCUUGAAUCGAAGAAGCCGUCCAAAACCCUAAGUCACACAAAAAUCCCCAAAUAAAUGCCAUGGGAUCUUCGUCCUCUUCUCAUCCUAAAUCCCCAACCAAUUUUCUUCGAAUCCCACCAAAUGGCUCAAAUCUUGGAUCUAAGAUUCAAACCAAAAAUCCUAAUCUCCUCAAAUCGACCCCAAAGCUUCAUUAAUUUUCUUUUCCGUCAAGUUUAGGCUCCCAGAAGUCUUUUCUCUUAAGGAGUCAAAACCAUGCAGAGCUGGAUCCCUUGAGGGAAAAGACCUCUAUUGGUCAAAGCAAGGUUCGACUCCAAAGCUUUUGUCGUUUCCAAGUCACAAUGGUAAGCUUCUGCCAAGCUCUUUUCUCCUUUCUUUCUUUCCUCCUUCUUUCCUUUUCAAAUAUCGAGUCAGUGUUCUUCGUACUUUGAUUUUUAGUUUGGGAAAUUUGUUUGUUUAGUUAAGAAUUCUUGUUCUAGAAUGCAUUAGUUACUCCAGUUUGUUUGUUCAAGUUUCAUUAGGUUUAACUGAUUUAGUAUUAGUUCAAGAUUAAUCUAGCUUAUUAGAAUAAUUAGCACUUUCAGUUAUUUUUAGUGUGAAUGCAUUGUUUUAACUAGACUUUAAGUUAGGUUUGAUAUCAUGUUAAUCUAGAGCUUAUUAUGAAUUGUUUUCAUAUGUCAAUUAAAGCAUAUUGUAGUUUAUUUUUGAUUGCAUUAUAAUAAUUAGGGUUAAUGUUAGAGGUACAGAUAGCCUGAUUGCUCUUUUCUUCUUCAUGUUUCAGUAUGGUAUUUAAUUGAUAAAAACAUGCCUGAAUCUCAUGAGUUUAGAUUAAUUAGGUUCCUAUUUUUCUUUCAUGAUUAGGUUCAAGUCUUUAAUCAGGUUAGAUAAUUUAUUCACUUUGUUUCUGUUACCAGUAUAGUUUCAAUUUAGUGUUCUUUAGGGUUAAUUAGAUAAAUAGCCUUUAUGGAUCAAUGGGUUAGUUUUAAAUUAGAAUUAGAUCAGUAGGGUUUGUUUCAACAUGAUAAUUUAGUCUCUUAAAUGCUUUCUGGAUUUGUUUGGCUUGAUUUGGAAACCAAUAGAAACUUUAAGGACUUAUUUUGAGGUAAAAGAGUCUAGGUAAAUUGAAAUAAGCAGUAACUUAAAGGGUAAAAUUGGAUUUUUACUUAAGCCAAAAUUAUAAGGUUCUAGUAUUUAGGACAAUUGUCCCUAUCCUUAGCAAAAAUGCUGAUAUUGGAUAAGAAAAGGACAUACAACUGUCAAAAGAUGCUGUACUAUUCUGAAAUUUCAUAUUGGAUAAGAAAAGGACAUACUCUGCUGAAAAGACUAGGGUUUCAAAUUUAGAAAAAACUUUCCUCCUUGGUUUUCUUAAAAGCUGAAAAUAUGAUUUGAAGUAGAAGGUUCUUUUCCUGGUUUUCCUUGGCUAAAGUCUCUUGGUUCUUAAGGAUAAACUUGGUUGUGAUUUGGGUGUCGUUUGCUGUUUGCUGCUGCUCAUUACCUUUUGGGAAAGCUCAAUUGUUUUAGUGACCUUUAUUUGGUCUUUCUUGAAUCAUCUAUAUGUAUGUAACUACACUCUAGCUACGAGAAUGAACUUGUUUGUGCAAUCUGAAGUUAUUCAUGACUAUGUGUGUAUGGUUGUAUGUUUCAAUAAUAGAAAUUUAUGUGUUGUUCAUUGUUCUUCAUCAUAUUUACAUGUUUAUUUCUAUGCAUUUCAGUAUGCAGGAAAAUGUUUUAAAAGAAAAAGCCUUGCCUUAAAACAACAUUUAGUUGGUAUUAUUCAUAAUGCUUACUUUCUCCCCUUCAUCUGAUUCCUUCUACUCAACAUACUGUUUUUAUUUUUCAUUUUUUCUAUUGGCUGUUUGGUCAUGAGUUGUAGUCUAUUAGUUCAACCACCAGUUGGUUGGAUCAAUUGGAUUUGAAAGCUUUAAGGUGGG
Molecule: long non-coding RNA, 2137 nt
Filed under: Nicotiana tabacum (common tobacco)
Lineage: Eukaryota; Viridiplantae; Streptophyta; Magnoliopsida; Solanales; Solanaceae
Description: long non-coding RNA (NTAB_LNC010622)
Source: RNAcentral